RNAcentral lists this non-coding RNA (91 nucleotides) under human gut metagenome. The record is from RNAcentral.
UGCGGGAGCUUGUAUUACAGGCUGAGAGGAAGGUGUGACUUUCGACCGUUAACCUGAUGUGGAUAAUGCCAACGUAGGGAUGAUCAGUAAA